GCGACCGUGCAAAGCUCACUUUCAACCAUGAAGAGACGACACUCCUUAUUAUUGACGACCAGAGGUGUGUAGCGGCCCUAUUAGAAGUGUGUGCACCCUGCCUGUGGAUUGCUCAGGAAGAUGGAGUUGCAUUGCAAAGUUUUUCACCAGACAACAAAAAGAAGACCUCUCUCUGAAGGACUGGAGGGUCACAGGCGUCCUAGGACAUCUGUGGGCUGAGUGUGCACAGUGCCUGGGGAUUCCUUAGGAAGGUGGAGCGGCUGUGCACGCCUGACUGUCGUGAAGAGACGAUUUUCCUCUAUUUGAUGAUGGGAGUUUGUGGGAGAAGUGCAGGAAGUGUGUCCCUAGGGGUGCACCUUGCCGGUGGACUGCUCAGGAAGGUAGAUGAACUGCAAGGUUCUUUAUCAGCCAAGAAAAGAAGACCUUUCUCUCCCUGAACGACGCCGGUCAUGGGUGUCCCAGGAGAUGUGUGGUCAUGACUGUGCACCAUGCCUGGGGAUGACUCAGGAAGGUGGGGCCGCUGUGCAAGAUGGGCCAUCCGUCAUGAAGAGAGCAUCUUCCUUUAUAUAAUGAUGGAGUUUGCGGGACAUGUGCAGGAAGUGUGUGUCUGGGUGUGCACCCUGCCUGUGGAUUGCUCAGGAAGGUAGAGGUUCGUUGCAAGGUUCUUCAGUGGCCAAGAAAAGACUAUUGCCUGCCUGGAUGGCCGAAGUUUGCAGGAUUCUCAGAAGCUGUGUGGCCCUCAGUGUGCAUCGAGCCUGGGGAUCACUCAGAAAGGUGCACUGCCAGGUUCUUCAGCAUCCAAGAAAAGAGGACCUUUCUCUCCCUGGAUGACUGAAGAUUGCCGGACUCUCAGAAGCUCUGUGGCCCUGAGUGCACCGAGUCUGGGGAUCACUCAGGAAGGUGGGGCGGCUGUGCAAGAUGGGCCAUCCGUCAUGAAGAGAGCAUCUUCCUUUAUGUAAUGAUGGAGUCUGCAGGACAUGUGCAGGAAGUGUGUGUCUGGGUGUGCACCCUGCCUGUGGAUUGCUCAGGAAGGUAGAGGUUCGCUGCAAGGUUCUUCAGUGGCCAAGAAAAGACUAUUGCCUGCCUGGAUGACCGAAGUUUGCAGGACUCUCAGAAGCUGUGUGGCCCUCAGUGUGCACCGAGCCUGGGAAUCACUCAGAAAGGUAGAGGUGCCCUUAAAGGUAUUUACCAGCCAAGAGAAAUACCAUUCUCUCCCUGGGUGACAGUAGUUUGCAGGACUUCUUGAGGCUCUGUGGCCCUGAGUGUGCACCGGGCCUGGGGAUCACUCAGGAAGGUAGCACUGCGGUGGAAUUUGGUGUCAGUCGUGAAGAGAGCAUCUCCUCUAUUUGCUGAUGGGAGCUGUGUGGCAAACUGCCCUUGCAGGGAAUGUGUCCCUGCGUGUGCACCUUGCCUCUGGAUUGCUGAGGAAGGUGGAGGUGCACUGCCAGGUUCUUUAUGAGCCCAGAAAACAAGCGACCUCUCCUUUGGAUGAAUGAACGAAGAUUCGUGGGACUUUGAGAGAAUCUGUGGCCCUGAGUGCCCACCGUGUGUGCGGAUCACUCAGGAGGGUGCACUGCCAGGUUCUUCAGCAGCCAAGAAGGGAGGACUUUUCUCUCCCUGGAUGACCGAAGUUUGCCGGACUCUCAGAAGCUCUGUGGCCCUGAGUGCACCGAGCCUGGGGAUCACUCAGGAAGGCGGAGCGGCCGUGCAAGAUGGGAUGUCAGUCAUGCAGAGAGCACCUUCCUGUAUUUGCUGAUGGGCGUUUUGUGUGAUGUGUGCAGGGAGUGUUUCCCGGGGGUGAACCCUGCCUGUGGAUCGCUCAGGAAGGUAGAGGCGCACUGCAAGUUUCAUCAUCAGGCCAGAAAACAAGGUCCAUCUCAUCCUGGCUGAACGGAGGUUCUGGAGACUUCAGAAGAUCUGGGGCCCUGAGGGCACACCCUGCUGGGGAUCACUCAGGAAGGUGGAGUGGCCGUGCAAGACAGACUGUCAGUUACGUGGAGACCACCUUCCUUCAUUCGAUGAUGGGAGUUCUGCGCGAGUCGUUCGGGUGCUUGUCCCUGUCUGCAACACAGCUGUGGAUCACUCAGGAAGGUAGAGGUGAACUGCAAGGUUCUUCAUCAGCCAAGAAAAGAAGACCUUUCUCUCUCUGAGUGACCCAGGGUAAUAUGGGUCCUGGAAGAUGUGUGGCCCUGAGUGUGUGCCAUGUCUUGGGAUCUCUCAGAAAGGUGGAGCGGCGGUGCAGGACUGGAUGUAAGUCGUGAAGAGACCACCUUCCUGAUUUGAUGAUGGGAGUUUGGCGGGAGACAUGCCCAAGUGCAUCCUUGGGUGUGUACCAUGCCCGUGGAUCACUG
Long non-coding RNA from Molossus molossus (Pallas's mastiff bat), 2351 nucleotides. RefSeq lists it as uncharacterized. Lineage: Eukaryota; Metazoa; Chordata; Mammalia; Chiroptera; Molossidae. The transcript is spliced from 18 exons. The record is from RefSeq and is a predicted model, not a curated record.